This 500-nucleotide ribosomal RNA is filed under the name uncultured bacterium. Its description in RNAcentral is "partial 16S ribosomal RNA". It matches the Rfam family "Bacterial small subunit ribosomal RNA", at positions 30 to 523 of the family's 1533-position model. The record is from RNAcentral.
AUUGAACGCUGGCGGAAUGCUUUACACAUGCAAGUCGAACGGCAGCACGGACUUCGGUCUGGUGGCGAGUGGCGAACGGGUGAGUAACAUAUCGGAACGUAUCCAAUAAUGGGGGAUAACGAGUCGAAAGAUUCGCUAAUACCGCAUACGCCCUACGGGGGAAAGCUGGGGACCUUCGGGCCUGGCGUUAAUGGCGCGGCCGAUAUCUGAUUAGCUAGUUGGUGAGGUAAAGGCUCACCAAGGCGACGAUCAGUAGCUGGUCUGAGAGGACGACCAGCCACACUGGAACUGAGACACGGUCCAGACUCCUACGGGAGGCAGCAGUGGGGAAUUUUGGACAAUGGGCGCAAGCCUGAUCCAGCCAUUCCGCGUGAGUGAAGAAGGCCUUCGGGUUGUAAAGCUCUUUCGCAAGGGAAGAAAACUUAGCCACUAACAUUGGUUGAGGUUGACGGUACCUUGAUAAGAAGCACCGGCUAACUGCGUGCCAGCAGCCGCAGUAA